UGUUGGUGGAAUUGUAAAUUAGUACAGUCAUUAUGGAAAACAGUGUGGAAGCUUCUCAAAAAAACAAAAAUAGAUAUAUCGUAAGUCCAGCAACCCCACAACCAGAGAAACUCUAGUUGGUGGUUUUUCUCGUCUGCUAUCUUGCUCCACCUGAAAGUCCCAGUUUUUAGAAUACCAGGAAAGGAGGCACUUGAGAGCAGGCAUAUGUCGGGGAGUUAGCUGAGAUUAGGGAGAUGAACAAAACAAUCCAUGAAGUUGGUCAUGAACUUCUGGGCUUAUCCUCAAGCUACACAUGUGUGGAUAUGUAUGUAAAGAGCAUACCAAAGGCUUUGAGAA
Non-coding RNA from Microcebus murinus (gray mouse lemur), 336 nucleotides. The record is from RefSeq and is a predicted model, not a curated record. Lineage: Eukaryota; Metazoa; Chordata; Mammalia; Primates; Cheirogaleidae.